AUCCCAGAUAAAUGUUUUAUGUGUUUAUUUGAUUCAUGGGAGGCAUACAUUAAUAAUGGGAGUUCCGCUGAUGGAACCUUCCGUAAUCAAGAGGGUUCUCUAAUAGUGCCUCACUGUACAUUU
This 123-nucleotide small nucleolar RNA is filed under the name Vitis vinifera (wine grape). Lineage: Eukaryota; Viridiplantae; Streptophyta; Magnoliopsida; Vitales; Vitaceae. The record is from RNAcentral.